RNAcentral lists this ribosomal RNA (324 nucleotides) under uncultured eukaryote. RNAcentral's name for it is "partial 18S ribosomal RNA". It matches the Rfam family "Eukaryotic small subunit ribosomal RNA", at positions 1470 to 1796 of the family's 1831-position model. The record is from RNAcentral.
CCCUUAGAUGUUCUGGGCUGCACGCGCGCUACACUGAAGCUAUCAACACGUUUUCCCUCCCUGAGAAGGGCGGGUAACCUUUUGAAUCAGCUUCGUGGUAGGGAUCGGGGCUUGCAAUUGUUCCCCGUGAACCAGGAAUUCCUAGUAGACGCGAGUCAUAAGCUCGCAUCGAUUAAGUCCCUGCCCUUUGUACACACCGCCCGUCGCUACUACCGACUGAACGUUUUAGUGAGGCAUUUGGACCGACGCAUCUCAGUUUAACCGCUGGUUUGUGUUGGAAAGACUUCCAAACUUGAGCGUUUAGAGGAAGUAAAAGUCGUAACA